Molecule: long non-coding RNA, 1294 nt
Organism: Salvelinus fontinalis (brook trout)
Lineage: Eukaryota; Metazoa; Chordata; Actinopteri; Salmoniformes; Salmonidae
Exons: 3
Source: RefSeq, a predicted model, not a curated record
GUAUAAAACCCCUUCAGCUUGGUGUCAAUGUGACGUUCCACCUGCAGUCCGUCAUCCCAGGUAUAAAACCCCCUUCAGCUUGGUGUCAAUGUGACGUUCCACCUGCAGUCCGUCAUCCCAGGUAUAAAACCCCCUUCAGCUUGGUGUCAAUGUGACGUUCCACCUGCAGCCCGUCAUCCCAGGUAUAAAACCCCUUCAGCUUGGUGUCAAUGUGACGUUCCACCUGCAGCCCGUCAUCCCAGGUAUAAAACCCCUUCAGCUUGGUGUCAAUGUGACGUUCCACCUGCAGCCCGUCAUCCCAGGUAUAAAACCCCUUCAGCUUGGUGUCAAUGUGACGUUCCACCUGCAGUCCGUCAUCCCAGGUAUAAAACCCCCUUCAGCUUGGUGUCAAUGUGACGUUCCACCUGCAGUCCGUCAUCCCAGGUACAGAUAAAACCCCUUCAGCUUGGUGUCAAUGUGACGUUCCACCUGCAGCCCGUCAUCCCAGGUAUAAAACCCCCUUCAGCUUGGUGUCAAUGUGACGUUCCACCUGCAGUCCGUCAUCCCAGGUAUAAAACCCCUUCAGCUUGGUGUCAAUGUGACGUUCCACCUGCAGUCCGUCAUCCCAGGUAUAAAACCCCCUUCAGCUUGGUGUCAAUGUGACGUUCCACCUGCAGCCCGUCAUCCCAGGUAUAAAACCCCCUUUAGCUUGGUGUCAAUGUGACGUUCCACCUGCAGCCCGUCAUCCCAGGUAUAAAACCCCUUCAGCUUGGUGUCAAUGUGACGUUCCACCUGCAGUCCGUCAUCCCAGGUAUAAAACCCCUUCAGCUUGGUGUCAAUGUGACGUUCCACCUGCAGUCCGUCAUCCCAGGUAUAAAACCCCCUUCAGCUUGGUGUCAAUGUGACGUUCCACCUGCAGUCCGUCAUCCCAGGUAUAAACCCCCUUCAGCUUGGUGUCAAUGUGACGUUCCACCUGCAGUCCGUCAUCCCAGGUAUAAAACCGCCUUCAGCUUGGUGUCAAUGUGACGUUCCACCUGCAGUCCGUCAUCCCAGGUACAGAUAAAACCCCCUUCAGCUUGGUGUCAAUGUGACGUUCCACCUGCAGUCCGUCAUCCCAGGUAUAAAACCCCUUCAGCUUGGUGUCAAUGUGACGUUCCACCUGCAGUCCGUCAUCCCAGGUAUAAAACCCCCUUCAGCUUGGUGUCAAUGUGACGUUCCACCUGCAGCCCGUCAUCCCAGGUAUAAAACCCCUUCAGCUUGGUGUCAAUGUGACGUUCCACCUGCAGUCCGUCAUCCCAGGUAUAAAACCCCCUUC